RNAcentral lists this ribosomal RNA (360 nucleotides) under uncultured Sphingomonas sp. RNAcentral's name for it is "bacterial SSU rRNA". It matches the Rfam family "Bacterial small subunit ribosomal RNA", at positions 123 to 517 of the family's 1533-position model. Lineage: Bacteria; Pseudomonadati; Pseudomonadota; Alphaproteobacteria; Sphingomonadales; Sphingomonadaceae. The record is from RNAcentral.
AAUCUACCCUUGGGUUCGGAAUAACAGCGAGAAAUUGCUGCUAAUACCGGAUGAUGACGUAAGUCCAAAGAUUUAUCGCCCAGGGAUGAGCCCGCGUAGGAUUAGGUAGUUGGUGUGGUAAAGGCGCACCAAGCCUACGAUCCUUAGCUGGUCUGAGAGGAUGAUCAGCCACACUGGGACUGAGACACGGCCCAGACUCCUACGGGAGGCAGCAGUGGGGAAUAUUGGACAAUGGGCGAAAGCCUGAUCCAGCAAUGCCGCGUGAGUGAUGAAGGCCUUAGGGAAGAAAAGCUCUUUUACCCGGGAUGAUAAUGACAGUACCGGGAGAAUAAGCUCCGGCUAACUCCGUGCCAGCAGCCG